AGAAACCUUUGCAAUGUGCGAAAACACGACAAGGUUAAUCCGAGUGUCUCCUGCUAAAGGAGUCUUUUGUCAGUUGUAGAAUCACUGGUGAAUAAGGGGUGGGCAAGUUCUGGUGUCAGCCGCCGCGGUAAAACCAGCACCUCGAGUGGUCAGGAGGUUUAUUGGGCCUAAAGCAUCCGUAGCCGGUUGCAUAAGUUUUCGGUUAAAUCUAUGCGCUUAACGUAUAGGCCGCCGAAAAUACUGUGCAGCUAGGGAGUGGGAGAGGUACACGGUACUCGAUAGGAAGGGGUAAAAUCCUUUGAUCUAUUGAAGACCACCUGUGGCGAAGGCGGUGUACCAGAACACGUUCGACGGUGAGGGAUGAAAGCUGGGGGAGCAAACCGGAUUAGAUACCCGGGUAGUCCCAGCUGUAAACGAUGCAGACUCGGUGAUGCAUUGGCUUGUGGCCAAUGCAGUGCCGCAGGGAAGCCGUUAAGUCUGCCGCCUUGGAAGUACGUACGCAAGUAUGAACUUAAAGGAUUGGCGGGGGAGCACCACAAGGGGUGAAGCCUGCGGUUCAAUUGGAGUCAACG
RNAcentral lists this ribosomal RNA (572 nucleotides) under uncultured archaeon. RNAcentral describes it as "bacterial SSU rRNA". It matches the Rfam family "Archaeal small subunit ribosomal RNA", at positions 342 to 917 of the family's 1478-position model. The record is from RNAcentral.